AUGAAGGGUUUAUGGGCAAAGAAGCAAGCAAAGGUGAAGAGAAGCAACUCAAACAGGUGGAAGCAGAGCAGCCACAGAAGAGGGAAGAGAUAGUGUUCUGCACUUUGGUAUUGAUAGAACCCACCGAAAGAAUAGAGAACCCACUAAAAAAAAAUAAUAAGUCCUCUGCUUCCUUAUCUUUCAAUUACUUUAGUAUUAUCCUACACUAUUUAACUUGCUCUG
Molecule: long non-coding RNA, 222 nt
Filed under: Prunus dulcis (almond)
Lineage: Eukaryota; Viridiplantae; Streptophyta; Magnoliopsida; Rosales; Rosaceae
Description: sRNA ncRNA
Source: RNAcentral